This 292-nucleotide ribosomal RNA is filed under the name uncultured bacterium. RNAcentral describes it as "partial 16S ribosomal RNA". It matches the Rfam family "Bacterial small subunit ribosomal RNA", at positions 338 to 622 of the family's 1533-position model. The record is from RNAcentral.
CCUACGGGGCGCAGCAGUAGGGAAUCUUCCACAAUGGACGAAAGUCUGAUGGAGCAACGCCGCGUGAGUGAAGAAGGGUUUCGGCUCGUAAAGCUCUGUUGGUAGUGAAGAAAGAUAGAGGUAGUAACUGGCCUUUAUUUGACGGUAAUUACUUAGAAAGUCACGGCUAACUACGUGCCAGCAGCCGCGGUAAUACGUAGGUGGCAAGCGUUGUCCGGAUUUAUUGGGCGUAAAGCGAGUGCAGGCGGUUCCAUAAGUCUGAUGUGGAAACCCUCUGCUCCACCGGGGGAAU